Molecule: ribosomal RNA, 657 nt
Filed under: Acetobacter pomorum
Lineage: Bacteria; Pseudomonadati; Pseudomonadota; Alphaproteobacteria; Acetobacterales; Acetobacteraceae
Description: bacterial SSU rRNA
Rfam family: Bacterial small subunit ribosomal RNA
Source: RNAcentral
ACAUGCAAGUCGCACGAAGGUUUCGGCCUUAGUGGCGGACGGGUGAGUAACGCGUAGGUAUCUAUCCAUGGGUGGGGGAUAACACUGGGAAACUGGUGCUAAUACCGCAUGACACCUGAGGGUCAAAGGCGUAAGUCGCCUGUGGAGGAGCCUGCGUUUGAUUAGCUAGUUGGUGGGGUAAAGGCCUACCAAGGCGAUGAUCAAUAGCUGGUUUGAGAGGAUGAUCAGCCACACUGGGACUGAGACACGGCCCAGACUCCUACGGGAGGCAGCAGUGGGGAAUAUUGGACAAUGGGGGCAACCCUGAUCCAGCAAUGCCGCGUGUGUGAAGAAGGUCUUCGGAUUGUAAAGCACUUUCGACGGGGACGAUGAUGACGGUACCCGUAGAAGAAGCCCCGGCUAACUUCGUGCCAGCAGCCGCGGUAAUACGAAGGGGGCUAGCGUUGCUCGGAAUGACUGGGCGUAAAGGGCGUGUAGGCGGUUUGUACAGUCAGAUGUGAAAUCCCCGGGCUUAACCUGGGAGCUGCAUUUGAUACGUGCAGACUAGAGUGUGAGAGAGGGUUGUGGAAUUCCCAGUGUAGAGGUGAAAUUCGUAGAUAUUGGGAAGAACACCGGUGGCGAAGGCGGCAACCUGGCUCAUUACUGACGCUGAGGCGC